GACGAACGCUGGCGGCGUGCUUAACACAUGCAAGUCGAGCGGUAAGGCCUCUUCGGGGGUACACGAGCGGCGAACGGGUGAGUAACACGUGGGUGACCUGCCCUCAGCUCUGGGAUAAGCCUGGGAAACUGGGUCUAAUACCGGAUAUGACCUUUCCUCGCAUGGGGUUUGGUGGAAAGUUGUUUCGGCUGGGGAUGGGCCCGCGGCCUAUCAGCUUGUUGGUGGGGUGAUGGCCUACCAAGGCGACGACGGGUAGCCGGCCUGAGAGGGCGACCGGCCACACUGGGACUGAGACACGGCCCAGACUCCUACGGGAGGCAGCAGUGGGGAAUAUUGCGCAAUGGGCGGAAGCCUGACGCAGCGACGCCGCGUGGGGGAUGACGGCCUUCGGGUUGUAAACCUCUUUCGACCCCGACGAAUUUGGACGGUAGGGGUAGAAGAAGCACCGGCCAACUACGUG
This 460-nucleotide ribosomal RNA is filed under the name uncultured bacterium. Its description in RNAcentral is "partial 16S ribosomal RNA". It matches the Rfam family "Bacterial small subunit ribosomal RNA", at positions 28 to 507 of the family's 1533-position model. The record is from RNAcentral.